GAUGAACGCUGGCGGCGUGCCUAAUACAUGCAAGUCGAGCGAACGGACGAGAAGCUUGCUUCUCUGAUGUUAGCGGCGGACGGGUGAGUAACACGUGGAUAACCUACCUAUAAGACUGGGAUAACUUCGGGAAACCGGAGCUAAUACCGGAUAAUAUUUUGAACCGCAUGGUUCAAAAGUAAAAGACGGUCUUGCUGUCACUUAUAGAUGGAUCCGCGCUGCAUUAGCUAGUUGGUAAGAUAACGGCUUACCAAGGCAACGAUGCAUAGCCGACCUGAGAGGGUGAUCGGCCACACUGGAACUGAGACACGGUCCAGACUCCUACGGGAGGCAGCAGUAGGGAAUCUUCCGCAAUGGGCGAAAGCCUGACGGAGCAACGCCGCGUGAGUGAUGAAGGUCUUCGGAUCGUAAAACUCUGUUAUUAGGGAAGAACAUAUGUGUAAGUAACUGUGCACAUCUUGACGGUACCUAAUCAGAAAGCCACGGCUAACUACGUG
Molecule: ribosomal RNA, 497 nt
Filed under: uncultured bacterium
Lineage: Bacteria
Description: partial 16S ribosomal RNA
Rfam family: Bacterial small subunit ribosomal RNA
Source: RNAcentral